RNAcentral lists this ribosomal RNA (467 nucleotides) under uncultured Arthrobacter sp. RNAcentral's name for it is "bacterial SSU rRNA". It matches the Rfam family "Bacterial small subunit ribosomal RNA", at positions 30 to 514 of the family's 1533-position model. The record is from RNAcentral. Lineage: Bacteria; Bacillati; Actinomycetota; Actinomycetes; Micrococcales; Micrococcaceae.
UGAACGCUGGCGGCGUGCUUAACACAUGCAAGUCGAACGAUGAUCCCAGCUUGCUGGGGGAUUAGUGGCGAACGGGUGAGUAACACGUGAGUAACCUGCCCUUGACUCUGGGAUAAGCCUGGGAAACUGGGUCUAAUACCGGAUACGACCAUUCCACGCAUGUGGUGGUGGUGGAAAGCUUUUGUGGUUUUGGAUGGACUCGCGGCCUAUCAGCUUGUUGGUGGGGUAAUGGCCUACCAAGGCGACGACGGGUAGCCGGCCUGAGAGGGUGACCGGCCACACUGGGACUGAGACACGGCCCAGACUCCUACGGGAGGCAGCAGUGGGGAAUUUUCCGCAAUGGGCGAAAGCCUGACGGAGCAACGCCGCGUGAGGGAUGAAGGCCUCUGGGCUGUAAACCCCUUUUCUCAAGGAAGAAGAUCUGACGGUACUUGAGGAAUAAGCCACGGCUAAUUCCGCGCCAGCAG